This 387-nucleotide long non-coding RNA is filed under the name Setaria italica (foxtail millet). RNAcentral describes it as "long non-coding RNA (SITA_LNC002085)". The record is from RNAcentral. Lineage: Eukaryota; Viridiplantae; Streptophyta; Magnoliopsida; Poales; Poaceae.
GAUGACUUGGCUCCUUGCAGCCGCUUCCUGCUUCUUAAGCUCUACAAAAACAAAGAACUCAGGCCACAGCCAACUAUAGUUGGACGUACCCAGAGUAGUUGAAACACUUACCUUGAUACUUCUUGUUCAAAGACUUGUAGAGGCUCUCCAGUUUUUCCUGCAGAACCGUGUGAUCCGCGCGUUCCACGGCAAAGGACUUCGCCCCAACUUCAUGAACCCGAAGAGCUUCUGUCAGUUGGGCACAUUCCUGCUCCAACUGAUGGCUUCUUUCCUGAAAACAUCCAAGUACGGUAUGGUGAGUUUCAAGCCUCACAGCUACUCGGGUCAUGCAAUGAAAUCAACAAAGAAAUCUACAUGGAAGCCCUGGAAAACAUCGAUGGCCCUCUG